UGGGGAAUUUUGGACAAUGGGCGCAAGCCUGAUCCAGCCAUGCCGCGUGCGGGAAGAAGGCCUUCGGGUUGUAAACCGCUUUUGUCAGGGAAGAAAUCUUCUGAGUUAAUACCUCGGGAGGAUGACGGUACCUGAAGAAUAAGCACCGGCUAACUACGUGCCAGCAGCCGCGGUAAUACGUAGGGUGCAAGCGUUAAUCGGAAUUACUGGGCGUAAAGCGUGCGCAGGCGGUUUUGUAAGACAGAGGUGAAAUCCCCGGGCUCAACCUGGGAACUGCCUUUGUGACUGCAAGGCUUGAGUGCGGCAGAGGGGGGAUGGAAUUCCGCGUGUAGCAGUGAAAUGCGUAGAUAUGCGGAGGAACAUCGAUGGCGAAGGCAAUCCCCUGGGCCUGCACUGACGCUCAUGCACGAAAGCGUGGGGAGCAAACAGGAUUAGAUACCCUGGUAGUCCACGCCCUAAACGAUGUCAACUGGUUGUUGGGAAGGUUCCUUCUCAGUAACGUAGCUAACGCGUGAAGUUGACCG
This 524-nucleotide ribosomal RNA is filed under the name uncultured bacterium. RNAcentral describes it as "partial 16S ribosomal RNA". It matches the Rfam family "Bacterial small subunit ribosomal RNA", at positions 355 to 871 of the family's 1533-position model. The record is from RNAcentral.